This 3408-nucleotide long non-coding RNA is filed under the name Capsicum annuum. Its description in RNAcentral is "long non-coding RNA (CANN_LNC012996)". The record is from RNAcentral. Lineage: Eukaryota; Viridiplantae; Streptophyta; Magnoliopsida; Solanales; Solanaceae.
AUUGAUAUAUUCUUCUUCCUUUUACUGCUAACUCUUUUUUUUUUUUAAUCUUAUUUUACUUUGUCUUUAUUUUAUAAUAAAUUUAAUAUUUCUUUGCUAAAUUAAGAUUUGUUAGAUUUAUAAUUAAUUUUGUUGAUUUUUGUAUUCUCUGAUUAAUUAGAGAAGAUAUAUUUUAAUUUUUGAAUAUCCUUUAAUUAAUUAAGUUCUUGUUUAAUCCUGGGAAAAUAUUUCACAUUGUAAGAAUAGUUUCUUAGGACAGUGCCUAGCUCGAUUCAAAUAUUUUAUAUAUUACUUAAAAUAUUAUUUAAUUAUUAUUAUUAUUAAUGUUAUUAUUUGUAACACCCGUACUUUUGGGCUAGAAUCUAGAUUGUCGUUCCUACGCAUAUAGACCCGAACUAGAUAAUUCCUUGUUAAUAUAUGUGAGUUUAAUCCUAUAGUGUGGGAAUAUCUAUGAAUAUGAAUUGAUAUCACAAAAUCCUCUAACUCUAAGACGAGUUGAAAACAUUUCUAGCGAUUAAGUUUCAGUGGAUGUUGAAACUUGGGUCAACUUUCAUCGACCAUAACUUCUUGUAUACAUCAAAUUAGAGGACCCACUAUAUAUCAAAUGAAAGGUCUUCGAAGUAUCUUUUCAACGAUAUCAAUUUCGUCAAAAUUUGAUACCCAAACGAAAAGUUAUAGCCAUUUUUGUGAGAGAGGCAGUAGCUGUGCGCGAUUAGCAUGCCACGUACGCACCUAAUUUUCAGGUUCUGUUUUUGCGUUUUUAAGGGCAAUUUGGGCCUUUACCUCACCCAAGGUUUGUCCAUAACAUAAGAUUCACUCCCCAAAAGAAGAAUACACUCCAUAAUUCAAUUUUUUCCUCUCAAAUUAAAACCCUAAAUCUUUUCCCUCAAGAUCAAGAAUCAACAUCUUAAGUUCAAGACUCCAAGAAAAGGGUCAAGAUCCGGGUUCCAUCUAUCAAGAUCUAGGUUCCAUCUUUCAACUCUUAUAAUCUAAGGUACGUGGGGUUCAUCCUAAAAAUUACAUGGGCUUGUUGAAUCUCUUGAAUAUGAUUUAAAGAUUAUCAAACAUGAAUUUUAAAGCGGUUUUGGAACUUAUGCUUUAAAUGUCGCAUUUUGGAUGUUUUGAUAAUAUUUAUUGUUUUGGCCUUUAGGCCUUUCCCCCUUAAAUUGAUUUACAUCUAUAUGUAUAUGUAUGAUAUUGAAGAUUUGAUUGAGAGCAUUAACAUUGAAAUCCCUCUCUUUGAUGAUUUAUAGUUUAUGAAACUGUUGAGAAUGAUUUGAGAUGCAUGUUUAAUGGUUUGAAAGUGGUCUUUUCAAUAUUAAAGUAAUUAACAUGAUUUUGAUGAUGCUGAGAGGGAGUUUCUUGAUAUGAUUUCGUUCUUGUGUUAAAGAGAGAAUUGUAUGUGAUUGAUAUCUUUGACACGACCACCUUGUGUGUGUUUGAAAUGUCGAAAAUGAGAGUUUUCUUGCAUGUGUUUACAUGAGUUUUAAAGAAUGAGUUUCUUGAAAGGAAUUGUUGAUAUGGUGGUCCUGAAUUCCAUGUUUCGAGAACAGAGAUAUAAUUUUCUAUAAAUGGCUCAGAGAAUGUGACUUGCAAUUCAAUGGUAUGACGAUGCGAAAUAAAUUUAUGCCAUAACAGAAAUAGAGUCUUCAGAGUCUGAUUUCAAAGAUUGCAUGUUGUAAAGAAUUAAAAAUGGGCUUAAAGAGGGUUAGGUGGUCACCCGAAGAGGGCACGAUCCAAAUAGCUCAUAGCCUAAAAUCGUGUUUUGCCGAUACGGGUAUGUUACUUUUGUACGCUGACGAUGGCCCUGUGGUGUAGUAGAGAUUCAGAGACUCCGACCCUUGCGGUAAACUUGGGUUGGGGGCUUGGCUGCCGAGUUAAGGGCAGAUUUCAUAUAGCCCAUGGAAUUACAGAAUUGUAGGGUAUACCACCUAGCGCAGAAGUAAAACAAAGAGUAUGUCACAAAGUUCAGAUGAUUUUAUAGAGUCUUUUAAAUAUGCCCAUGUGAUUCUUAACACAUGAUAUAUUUAUGAACUGUUUUAAAUCGCUCUCAUAUAUGCUGAAUAAAAAUUAUUAUUUUGGAUUUGCUCUAUGUACCAGUACAACUGUAUUGACCCCCUAUCUCUCAGAGUCUGAGGCUCAAUCUAGAGGUUCAGCUAAGCAGUAGAGAUUUCAGAGAGAAGAGACUGUGCAGUGGUGAGCCUUCUUUAUUUCAGAAGGCCUUUUUAUUCCAGUCUAUGUAAUUAUUUUAUUUUGGGUCUACUGGGGGCCGUGUCCCAGAUUCAGACAGUUAUCAUUUUAGCAUGUAAUAGAGAUUUCGUAGAUUGGUUCAGAUAUUGUCUAGAGUUCUUGUAUUUCAAAUUCCUUAUUGUUAAAUUGAGUUCAGAUUAUGACCAUGAUUCCGUAUUAAGUUAUAUUUUCGCAUCUUACUUUACUGUAUGAAUAUUGUGCAUGACUAUCAGAUAGAGAAGGGCGUCUGAGCCUUCAAGGUUCAGAAUGCUUGUCAUAGCCAGGGCCUCGUUUCAAAUCGUGACAUUAUUAUCAUCGUCAUUAUUGUUAUUGUAAAUUGUUAAUUCUACUAAACUGAUAAUAAGAAAUAUUAUUAUAGUAGUCAGUUUAUUUAUUUUCUCUACUGAUAUUGAAAUCUCUAUUAUUGUUUUCCCAAAAAGGCUUUCUGCCAUCUGGAUUUGUUCAGGUGUACCGAAUAUGAUCACUUUUCCAUCACAUUCCCCAAGCCAUCCAAAAGUGAGCACCAUUCCCUGCAUUUUCUCCAUAAUGUAGAAUAUCCAGAUCAACAAACAAAGAAACAGAUACAGAAACAGCGGGAGAAGAAGAUUGACAGUUGAAUAAUUUUUCAUACAGCAUCCAUUCGAGGCCCCAAUCACCCUCGUAGAACAGAUUCGAAAACCUCAUCGAGUGUAACCUUAAACCUCCCAUACACAGACUACAACACAUAGCCAUACACGAGAGAGGGGGAAAACAGUGAAAGAAAAAGAGAGAGAAAGAGGGAAAAACAGAGAGGGAGCUCCAUCGGGGAGAAACCAGUAGAAAACAAAUUCUUUUUUGACGGAAUAACACCGAUGAAACCACCUUCUAAAUCCAAAUCACCACCAGUUUCUUUUUCCGAUCAAAUUCCUCCAGAAAUCGAUCGAAAACACAAAAUAGCUACAAAAAUGCCCGAAACAAACCCAUUCACCAUAAAUCCACCAAUUCCGUCGAAAUCCACGAGAAAACCAACAAAAUAGAUAUGUUCGCGUGUGAAAUUUGGUACGGGUUGUUCUCAUUUUCGUGAGUUUAGGCUUGGGUUAUUGAAGAAUAGAAAUAGGUGUAGACAAGAGCCGGGUUCGUUCAUUGUGAUGUUCGGCUCAAGGUGAUAUUAAAGGUGUUCUGGAUUCAUUUAAACAUACA